Molecule: ribosomal RNA, 854 nt
Filed under: uncultured Chloroflexota bacterium
Lineage: Bacteria; Bacillati; Chloroflexota
Description: uncultured Chloroflexi bacterium partial 16S rRNA
Rfam family: Bacterial small subunit ribosomal RNA
Source: RNAcentral
AACUAACGCUGGCGGCGUGUCUUAGACAUGCAAGUCGAACGCCCCGCCUUUGGCGGGGAGUGGCGAACGGGUGAGUAAUGCGCAGAUAACCUGCCCUUAGGUGGGGGAUAACCCCGAGAAAUCGGGGCUAAUCCCGCAAGUCCCACUUUGGCAUAAGUCAAAGGGGGUAAACCCCUCGGGGGCCUGAGGAGGGGUCUGCGUCCUAUCAGGUAGUUGGUAGGGUAAUGGCCUACCGAGCCUAUGACGGGUAGCCGGCCUGAGAGGGUGACCGGCCACAUGGGGACUGAGAUACGGCCCUGACUCCUACGGGAGGCAGCAGUCUAGAAAUUUGGGCAAUGGGCGAAAGCCUGACCCAGCGACGCCGCGUGAGGGAUGAAGGCCUUCGGGUUGUAAACCUCUUUCAGAGGAGAAGAACCCCGCAUUUGCGGGGAGACGGUAUCCUCAGAAGAAGCUCCGGCUAACUCCGUGCCAGCAGCCGCGGUAAUACGGAGGGAGCAAGCGUUGUUCGGAAUUACUGGGUGUAAAGGGGGCGCAGGUGUCCCACUAAGUUUCGGGUAAAAUCCUUGGGCUCAACUCAAGAAUUGCGCGGAAUACUGGUGGGAUUGAGCAUAGGAGAGGAGGGCGGAACUCCCAGUGUAGCGGUGGAAUGCGUAGAUAUUGGGGGGAACACCAGUGGCGAAGGCGGCCCUCUGGACUAUUGCUGACACUCAUGCCCGAAAGCCAGGGGAGCAAACAGGAUUAGAUACCCUGGUAGUCCUGGCCCUAAACGAUGUGAGCUAGGUGUCCCGGAAUUUAUUCUGGGGUGCCGCAGCUAACGCAAUAAGCUCACCACCUGGGGAGACGGUCGCAAGGCU